This is a transfer RNA of 74 nucleotides. It matches the Rfam family "tRNA". Rfam says of the family: Transfer RNA (tRNA) molecules are approximately 80 nucleotides in length. Their secondary structure includes four short double-helical elements and three loops (D, anti-codon, and T loops).
GCCUGGGUGGCGCAACGGCAGACGCAGCCGCCUUAAAAGCGGAUCAGAUGCGGGUUCGAAUCCCGCCCCAGGUA